UUUAACAGAUAACAGUGCACUCUGUAUCGUUUGCUUUAGCGUGAAAGCGAAGUCAUAAGGACAAAUGUCUCUGUUUCUGAUGUCACUCUCUCUUUGAAAUUUCCGUUUGAUAUUUCCUUCUACAGUUGCUUUCUGAAGAACCAGUUCCAGAAAAUUCAAAGUGAGGGAGAGAGAAAUUUGGAGGGGAUUUCAAUUCUCUGCAAUUGGAAUUUGCUAGCCAUGUUGGUUCAAAGAACAGUGAUAAUGAGCUGGAGGAGAGUGGCUAAGUCUUUACUGGCCGUCGUAGCCCAUUCCCUACUUUUUUCAUUCACGCUGUUGCUUGCUCUCAGGCUUGACCGUGCAGUGUCUUGCUCGUGGUGGUUUAUUUUUGCACCUCUGUGGCUAUUUCAUGCAGUUGUAGCACGUGGCCGAUUUUCUUUACCUGCUCCAUCAAUGCCUAAUGAUCGCCGUUGGGCACCAUCUCAUGCUGUCUUGGCAACUCCAUUGCUUAUUGCUUUUGAGCUACUCCUUUGUAUACGUCUAGAGAACAGUUAUGUUGUCAACUUGAAGAUUGUUUUUCUCCCGUUGUUGGCAUUUGAAGCAGCAAUCUUGAUUGAUAAUAUAAGGAUGUGUAGAGCUUUAAUGCCUGGAGAUGAAGAAAGCAUGAGUGAUGAAGCAAUAUGGGAGACUCUUCCUCACUUUUGGGUUGCAAUAUCUAUGGUCUUCUUCAUGGCUGCAACAAUAUUCACUCUUCUUAAGCUAUGUGGUGAUGUGGCAGCUCUUGGAUGGUGGGACUUGUUUAUAAAUUAUGGAAUUGCAGAAUGCUUUGCCUUUCUUGUUUGUACAAGGUGGUACAAUCCAGCAAUUCAUAGGCAUUCACAUAUUGGAGGGCCUGGUUCUUCAAUGUCCAUCAGAUAUAUCGAGUGGAAUAGAGGCUUGGUAGUUUCUUCAGAUGAAGACCGGCAUCAGAGCAACAGAAUAUGCAAUCUGCAGGACAUUGGCGGACAUUUUAUGAAAAUUCCUUUUAUUGGUUUCCAGAUCAUGCUUUUUAUGCGCUUAGAGGGUACACCUCCUGAUGCUGAACAUAUUCCAUUUCCGGUUCUUUUCGCUCCACUUUUGCUGAUACAAGGAGCUGGGGUCUUGUUUGCUAUUUAUAGAUUGGUAGAGAAAAUCGUUAUUUUACUACGUGGUGGAUCUGGUUCUACUAGAUACUUAACUAUUGCAUCCAAAGUUUGUGAUUUUCUUGGGUUUUUGCACCAUGGAUCAAGGUUAAUGGGUUGGUGGUCAAUUGAUGAAGGAAGCAGAGAGGAGCAGGCAAGACUGUAUUAUCCUGGAUGUUCAGGCUAUAAUACAUUCUCACCAGAUGUCGUGAAGAAGAUGCCUAAAUCUGAACUUGUUGAGGAGGUUUAUUUAUUUGGAGAUUGCAAGCUGCAUUAGGUGAGCAAACAGAAAUCACAAAGUUUAGCCAGCAGGAGUGUGAAAGACUUCAAAAUGAAAAAAUCCUAUGCAGAGUUUGCUUUGAGGAUCAAAUUAAUGUUGUGCUGCUUCCGUGCAGGCAUCAUGUCCUUUGCAGCACUUGCUGUGAGAAGUGUAAGAAGUGCCCUAUCUGCCGUGUCACAAUCGAAGAGCGACUGCCUGUAUACGAUGUGUAGUUCAAUUAUAUCCACAAGAUGGCUAGAAAGCUUCCUUGCUGCUUAUAUGUUUUUGGAUGAAGCAUGCAAAGAGAAGAUGACAAUUGUGUGGGGUUAUCUGAUAGCACAGGGGAACCGCAUCAAGCUUUGGAAACCAUUAUCAAGUUUGUGAAAUUGUCACCAAGUGUUUGAACCAUUGUCCGGGGAAAAUUCUUCCUGUGAUUUCCAGUUCAAGAACAUUGAUAUUUUCAACAACACGUUUUGUAUUACAAUAGCACAUUCUGUCUGUUCCAUAAAUAUCUGUCAUUAGUUGUAUUCUUUCGCUGAAAUCUGAGAUUGGUACUCACUUCCAUUAGUUGUACACUCCAUUAGGAUAUUGGCUCAUAACUUGUAUUGUUUUGCCUCUUAUCAGAAACUGAAAAACCCAAUUCAUAAACUCAAAAGAAAUUUAAUUUUAACAAUGCAUAGUUACCAUUUUGUGUCUAA
Molecule: RNA transcript, 2096 nt
Organism: Jatropha curcas
Lineage: Eukaryota; Viridiplantae; Streptophyta; Magnoliopsida; Malpighiales; Euphorbiaceae
Gene name: Transmembrane Fragile-X-F-associated protein
Source: RefSeq, a predicted model, not a curated record